CCUACGGGAGGCAGCAGUAGGGAAUAUUGGGCAAUGGAGGCAACUCUGACCCAGCCAUGCCGCGUGCAGGAUGAAGGCGUUAUGCGUUGUAAACUGCUUUUAUAUAGGAAGAAAGAGUUCUUGCGAGAACAGUUGACGGUACUAUAUGAAUAAGCACCGGCUAACUCCGUGCCAGCAGCCGCGGUAAUACGGAGGGUGCAAGCGUUGUCCGGAUUUAUUGGGUUUAAAGGGUGCGUAGGCGGUUUAUUAAGUCAGUGGUGAAAGACGGUCGCUCAACGAUUGCAGUGCCAUUGAUACUGGUAGACUUGAGUGAGAUUGAGGUAGCUGGAAUGGAUAGUGUAGCGGUGAAAUGCAUAGAUAUUAUCCAGAACACCAAUUGCGUAGGCAAGUUACUAAGUCUUAACUGACGCUGAGGCACGAAAGUGUGGGUAUCAAACAGGAUUAGAUACCCUGGUAGUCCACACUGUAAACGAUGAUAACUAACUGUUGGCUUUCGGGUCAGUGGUACAGAGAAAUCGUUAAGUUAUCCACCUGGGGAAGUACGCCGGNAACGGUGAAACUUAAAGGAAUUGACGGNGNGAGAGNGCGAGACGACGACGAGGAGGAGG
This 608-nucleotide ribosomal RNA is filed under the name uncultured bacterium. Its description in RNAcentral is "bacterial SSU rRNA". It matches the Rfam family "Bacterial small subunit ribosomal RNA", at positions 338 to 947 of the family's 1533-position model. The record is from RNAcentral.